CCUACGGGUGGCAGCAGUGAGGAAUAUUGGUCAAUGGGCGGGAGCCUGAACCAGCCAAGUCGCGUGAGGGAAGACGGUCCUAUGGAGUGUAAACCUCUUUAGGCGGGGAGCAAGGCCGGGCACGCGUGCCCGGAGGGAGAGGACCCGCAGAAGAAGCAGCGGCUAACUCCGUGCCAGCAGCCGCGGUAAUACGGAGGAUGCGAGCGUUAUCCGGAUUUAUUGGGUUGAAAGGGUGCGUAGGCGGAUUUUUAAGUCAGCGGUAAACUGUCCGGGCUCAACCCGGGCCGGCCGUUGAAACUGGGGAUCUUGAGUGGGCGAUCAGUAUGCGGACUGCGUGGUGUAGCGGUGCAAUGCAUAGAUAUCACGCAGAACUCCGAUUGCGACGGCAGCAUACCGGCGCCCGCCUGCCGCUGAGGCACGACAGCGUGGGGCUCGAACAGGAUUAGCUACCCCAGUAGUC
This 460-nucleotide ribosomal RNA is filed under the name uncultured bacterium. RNAcentral describes it as "partial 16S ribosomal RNA". It matches the Rfam family "Bacterial small subunit ribosomal RNA", at positions 338 to 795 of the family's 1533-position model. The record is from RNAcentral.